GACGAACGCUGGCGGCGUGCUUAACACAUGCAAGUCGAGCGGUAAGGCCCUUUCGGGGGUACACGAGCGGCGAACGGGUGAGUAACACGUGGGUGACCUGCCUUUAGCUCUGGGAUAAGCCUGGGAAACCGGGUCUAAUACCGGAUAUGACUCCAUGACGCAUGUUGUGGGGUGGAAAGCCUUGUGCGGCUGAGGAUGGGCCCGCGGCCUAUCAGCUUGUUGGUGGGGUGAUGGCCACCAAGGCGACGACGGGUAGCCGGCCUGAGAGGGCGACCGGCCACACUGGGACUGAGACACGGCCCAGACUCCUACGGGAGGCAGCAGUGGGGAAUCUUGCGCAAUGGGCGAAAGCCUGACGCAGCGACGCCGCGUGAGGGAUGACGGCCUCGGUUGUAA
Molecule: ribosomal RNA, 396 nt
Filed under: uncultured bacterium
Lineage: Bacteria
Description: bacterial SSU rRNA
Rfam family: Bacterial small subunit ribosomal RNA
Source: RNAcentral